CUUAAUUUGACUCAACACAGGAAAACUCCCCAGGUCUGGACAUAGCGAGGAUUGACAGAUUGAGAGCUCUUUCUUGAUUCUAUGGGCGGUGGUGCAUGGCCGUUCUUAGCUGGUGGAGUGAUUUGUCUGUUUAAUUCCGUUAACGAACGAGGCCUUAACCUACUAAAUAAUAACGUAAAUUCCUAUUUACGGCAUACUUGUAUCGGUUAGCUCGUACAUCUUAUCUAGUGACUACGAUGCUUUUGUUGCGCAACAGCACUUUUUAAAUGUCUGUCUUGUCCAUAUUGUUGUCCAGUAUUG
RNAcentral lists this non-coding RNA (300 nucleotides) under Sphaeroforma arctica JP610. RNAcentral's name for it is "Eukaryotic small subunit ribosomal RNA". It matches the Rfam family "Eukaryotic small subunit ribosomal RNA", at positions 1189 to 1409 of the family's 1831-position model. The record is from Rfam by way of RNAcentral. Lineage: Eukaryota; Ichthyosporea; Ichthyophonida.